AAACUAAAUGAGGGACUGCGGGUUGAUUUUGAUAAAACCAAAGGGUAUUUUUGCAAAACAGCCACGACGUACGGGAGAAGCAGUAACUGCUUUAUUAUUAGGGAGAGAUAUUGUUGGGAUUGUGCGCACAGAAGUUAGAUGGUACCAUACAUACGAAACAUUAUUUCCUUUUUACUCUAGGUCAGUUGCAUCUGCAUAAGAAAACACAACAAUAGGUUGUGAGUUCAAUACUUUGCUGCCGCUACUAUCUUUUGCCAGAUUCUUUGUUGGGCUACAACGCGGGCUGUUGACGGACGGCCUGAGACCCAAGCGUGCCCAUGUGUGCCACACGUACGUAGAAAAAAAGUCUGAAUGGGUUUUUAUUGACUUACCGAUGGAGUGCAUGUUUGUAUAAAAAAUAUCAUGGAUUUUUCUGUAAAAUAAACAUAACUGAUUAAAAAUACCUAUUUCCGUUAUUAAUAGGUAGUACAGAUCUUGGCUAAGCCAAGGAUUCAUGCUUGCAUCAGCUCAACGUUCGGGCCAGGCGCUGGCCCUUUUUUUUCCUUCCUCGCUAGGACUUGGGCAGUCCUGUAUAAGGGCAUCUCCAGUGCCAGGGUGCUUGCAUGAAAUAGAAAAGGGUUUAAUUCAUUUUUUUACCCCUUAAUAUAUGCUUGUGCCACGGAACAUCAUAAAUUGGAAACCUGUCAAAUUUUGACCCCUAAUUUAAAAAAUCCUUCCACAUUUUGUCUCUUUUCAAAUAUUUCCUUAAACGAGUGCUGACUGGUUUGUCACGUAAUCAGUUUUUUUGUGUGUGUUCGUGCGUUUUUUUUUUGUUGGAUUGGAGGGAGAAGAAAGGAGCUGAGGGAGGAGACGUAGUAGGUGAGAGACACAGAAGGGAGAUGUGCAAUUCAUAAUUCCCAUUCGCGACAACAGUAGACUGUGCCUCGGAGUAACUUAUAAUUGAUCAACAAGUGGUAAUGGGCCCCACGGGCAUACAUGCAUACACUUUUUUUCAAGAAGGGAAAGAUAUUCAGGAUGCACACAACCCGGAAGAAAGCAAAAAAUGAAGGGAAAAAAAGGCCUUAUCACAGUGAUUAAC
This 1078-nucleotide long non-coding RNA is filed under the name Hordeum vulgare. RNAcentral's name for it is "long non-coding RNA (HVUL_LNC008106)". The record is from RNAcentral. Lineage: Eukaryota; Viridiplantae; Streptophyta; Magnoliopsida; Poales; Poaceae.